GGAUGUGAGGGCAAUCUGGCUGAGACUUCUGUCACCCCUUGGUCACCAGGGUUUAUUUGGCUGAUCUGGCUGGCUAGGCGAGUGACCCCUUCCUCCCUCACCAUGCCAUGUGCAUCCCUUCCAAAGCUGUGGCCUUGGUGGAAGAAAACAACCAUCCCCCAUAGAGGAGGACUGGUUUUCGUUCAAAGGUAUAUAAGUAGCUUCACUACCCUACUAGAACCUCCAAACAAGCUCUCAAAAAUUCAUGCUUAACUUGAUUUUCUACCAUCAACCUCAUCCUUUUCUAAA
RNAcentral lists this small nuclear RNA (288 nucleotides) under Callithrix jacchus (white-tufted-ear marmoset). RNAcentral's name for it is "7SK RNA". It matches the Rfam family "7SK RNA". Rfam says of the family: 7SK was discovered as an abundant small nuclear RNA in the mid-70s but a possible function has only recently been suggested. Lineage: Eukaryota; Metazoa; Chordata; Mammalia; Primates; Cebidae. The record is from Rfam by way of RNAcentral.